Molecule: ribosomal RNA, 253 nt
Filed under: uncultured bacterium
Lineage: Bacteria
Description: partial 16S ribosomal RNA
Rfam family: Bacterial small subunit ribosomal RNA
Source: RNAcentral
UACGAAGGGGGCUAGCGUUGUUCGGAAUUACUGGGCGUAAAGCGCGCGUAGGCGGCUUUGUAAGUUAGAGGUGAAAGCCCGGGGCUCAACCCCGGAAAUGCCUUUAAGACUGCAUCGCUUGAAUCCAGGAGAGGUGAGUGGAAUUCCGAGUGUAGAGGUGAAAUUCGUAGAUAUUCGGAAGAACACCAGUGGCGAAGGCGGCUCACUGGCCUGGUAUUGACGCUGAGGUGCGAAAGCGUGGGGAGCAAACAGG